This 301-nucleotide ribosomal RNA is filed under the name uncultured bacterium. Its description in RNAcentral is "partial 16S ribosomal RNA". It matches the Rfam family "Bacterial small subunit ribosomal RNA", at positions 509 to 807 of the family's 1533-position model. The record is from RNAcentral.
CAGUAGCCACGGGAAUACAGAGGGUGCGAGCGUUAAUCGGAUUUACUGGGCGUAAAGCGUGCGUAGGCGGCUUCUUAAGUCGGAUGUGAAAUCCCUGAGCUUAACUUAGGAAUUGCAUUCGAUACUGGGAAGCUAGAGUAUGGGAGAGGAUGGUAGAAUUCCAGGUGUAGCGGUGAAAUGCGUAGAGAUCUGGAGGAAUACCGGUGGCGAAGGCGGCCCCCUGGACAAAGACUGACGCUCAGGUGCGAAAGCGUGGGGAGCAAACAGGAUUAGAUACCCCUGUAGUCCCUGUCUCUUAUAC